Scylla paramamosain (green mud crab) is the source of this 3143-nucleotide long non-coding RNA. RefSeq lists it as uncharacterized. Lineage: Eukaryota; Metazoa; Arthropoda; Malacostraca; Decapoda; Portunidae. The record is from RefSeq and is a predicted model, not a curated record. The transcript is spliced from 11 exons.
UUUAACAUUGCUGCAACAAGACAUCUCAUGUACGUAUGUGGCUAAAUAUUAAGAAGAGUCGUGCGGCCCUAUUUCCUAUUUUUUUGUGCUCUCACCCCUCACAAUGUUGGGUAGCUGGAGGGAAAGCGGGGUUUCGGGUGGAAAAAGCUAAAAUAGAGCCAAAUACCGCCUCUCACCACCAAAACUAAACAGGGAGCUGCACUACUGCUACUGCUGCUGGUGCUGCUCUAUUUCAUAUUUACCGGUUUAGUUAGGUUAGAUUAGGUAUAAUUAAGUUUAGUUAGAAUGGUAGCAGCAAGAGCAAGAACACAGCGGCCAUCACAACAACAUGAACAGCAACAGUAGUGCAGCUCCCUAUUUAUUUUUAGUGGUAAGAGGCGAUAAUUGGCUCUAUAUUACCUUUCCACACCCGAAAACCCCGCCUUCCCACCAGCUUCCCUUCACUGUAGGGGACACGAACCGAAAACCCCGCCUUCCCACCAGCUUCCCUUCACUGUAGGGGACACGAACCGAAAAAAAAAAAAAAAAAUAGGAGAGAGGGCUGCACGAUUCUUCUUAAUAUUUCCCCGUAAUGGUAUAUACACACAUGCAUGUGAGAAUAUGAUAAGAAUUGUCUGCUGUAUGGAUCAUGUACACCUUCAGAAACUGACAACGGAGUUUUAAUACAGACCAGAACAAAAAUUAUAUGUUUUGAUAUGAGAGAGUGAUAUGAUCAGUGCGUAUGAAGUUAACACAAAAUAUGAUGUAAUCUUGAAUAUGUACGGGUGCCUUUAAUUUAUUAGGAAAAAAAUAUAUAUAUACCAUUCAGGAGAAAAUUCGUUUGUUUUAUAAUUGGGUAUUGUGUCAUGAAUCACGAUGUCUUGAGUACCUGACGGGAGUCGUGGUUGUUCGUAUUCGCCCGGGUUUCGGGACGGUCCUGUGUAUUGCCAUGUUUUUCUUGUUUUAUGCAUUUUUGUAUGUAUAUUUGUAGAUCAUAUUAUGAAUAUUUAUUUUUGUGUGCCUUUUGCAUAUUACUUAGGUGAGGCUUAGUAUAUAAUUAUAGGGAAGUGAGGUGUUAUCAAGUGCGUUCUGGGUGGCCAGUGGUGACGUGACCAGGGCUGUGUCAACACCAGGGUGGUGUUGGUUGUGUGGGGUGCACCUGGGCCCUGUGUUGGCCUUUGAAGGUGUUGCUUGAGUCUCGCCUUCGCACUCCGAGGACACUUUGAAUUCAUGGUGCUUUAGGUGCUCGUGGUCUUCGUCAGCCUUCGUGACCGUCCAUGCUCGUAACGUCUUCUUGUGCUCCUUGUUCGGCGCCUUGAAACAGAGGAAGAGAGAAUAAGAGGCUAAUUUUGUCCUCUUUAGGCUACAUUAUACAAGUGACUGCAGUACAAACACAUCUAAAUAAUAUAUAGACAAAACCAUCCAGCAUUCAGUAGCCCCAUCGCGCUGGUCAGUAGAGGACCCGUGGCCACCAGACGCAGCGGAACCUUUCUGGGUCGUAACGUGAUGACCCGGGGGACGUAAAUAGCCAGACGACGCGAGGAGGAAAGUGCGGGAGACUGGAACGAAGCGACUGCAGUGUUUUGAAGGAUGAUGCCGCCGAAGUCCCGAGUGGCUUCGAGACAAGGAAGAGAAGCCACGCGACUCACUUGAGCCAGUCAGUCAGUGGUCAGUGGCGUCAGCUUCGUUGUGGUGUACGUGUGAGUCUUCUGUGUUUUCUUGGACGCUUAUUUGGGCUCUAGGUGAACCAAAACUCUCCCAAAGCUUGUCCACAGUGGUCAGCAGUGUUUGGUGAUGCCGCUUGACACUCAUCACUCGUACACUGACAGAAGCAGGAAACAAAUGCCAUUCAUGAAGAGCGAACACCGGAACGAGUCGUCAAAUUUGGAAGUCAGCGGGGACACCAGCCAGACAACAGAGGACGGGACAAUUUUUUCAGGCAACUGUUACGAACACACGGGAAUAAUCAAUGCAGCUAAGCAGAGCAUUACCCCUCAGCCUCGCUUUAUGUGAGAUUGUAACGAUCGCCACCACCACCACCACCACCACCACCACCACCACCACCUCCACCACCACCACCACCACCACCAUCACCAUCAAGAGGUGAAGUCCAAUCCCUUUUGGUGUUCCACGUGCCGAGCGAAUCCGGGGAGAAGGUGACUCAGGGCAUCUCGGCGCUGCUCUCCAUGACUGUCUUCCUCAUGACCAUCAGAGUCCCUGCCGCCCACUGAGAAGACACCGCUCGUCACCUGCAAAAAAUAAGAUUAAGUGGCACCUCCGAGGCUGCGACAAUGCAGCCGUCUGUUCUUCACGUCAGCUACACGCAUAGCAGCACACCAACGAGUCCCAUACAUUUUCAACUCCUCUGACGGCCUGGCGUCCCCGCUCGGCCCCUUCCACGACUCGCAGCGAGAGACGUCGAGGUGCGGUGGUCUUGUGGCGGAAGGCUGAAGGAGGCGGUGAAGGAGUGAAGUUAAGAGUUUGGUGUGAAGUGUGUGGCUUCCACUUCACCAUCCUAUGAACAGCCUGCAGGAAUCUCUAUCAGCACCUGCUUCUGCAAUAUUGGCAUCUGGUUAUCAAAUAGUGCUGUCACACUGGGCCUGACAUACUCCAUUGCAAUUGGGGAAUCAAGCUUCACCAGGAAGAGAGGCCGAGCAUCACAACCUUCAAGCCUUCAAGCCCUACAUGAGGUGUUAAGUAUUGUCAGGACAAAACAGAGGUCCUGGUACAAGAGUUUUCAUUGCAAUCAAGGAAGAGUCAAGUUGCAAUAAGAAGAGUGUGUCAAGAAUUUUAAGCAGGAGGAAGACUGUCAAGCAGUUGACGGCAGGAAGAACGCGUGAAAUUCCCUUAAGUCAUGGCAGGACCGACAGGCAACCUUCAUUCAACACCUGCAGAGGCACAAGAGUUGUGGGCAGUUUCACCAGGAAGAGUUUGCUCCUCACUCAAGUUGACACAAAGACACAAGAAUUUGCAAGUGUUGUUCCUCCAAGACCCUGCUGCAAAUGUUCUCCAAUCCACUCCAGUCUGGGAAGGAAGAAUGUAGGAAGUCCCUCUCUUCUGUACUCAACAAGCACCACCACCACCACCACCUUCAUUCAGGCUUGAGACAAGUUUUGUACAUUCCAGCACUUCAGUAAUAAAGAAAACAAGUGCCAUGUUUAUUA